CGUUGACCUCGGAUCAGGUAGGAAUACCCGCUGAACUUAAGCAUAUCAAUAAGCGGAGGAAAAGAAACCAACAGGGAUUGCCUCAGUAACGGCGAGUGAAGCGGCAACAGCUCAAAUUUGAAAUCUGGCCCUAGGCCCGAGUUGUAAUUUGCAGAGGAUGCUUUUGGCGCGGUGCCUUCCGAGUUUCCCUGGAACGGGACGCCAUAGAGGGUGAGAGCCCCGUCUGGUCGGACACCAAGCCUCUGUAAAGCUCCUUCGACGAGUCGAGUAGUUUGGGAAUGCUGCUCAAAAUGGGAGGUAUAUGUCUUCUAAAGCUAAAUACCGGCCAGAGACCGAUAGCGCACAAGUAGAGUGAUCGAAAGAUGAAAAGCACUUUGGAAAGAGAGUUAAACAGCACGUGAAAUUGUUAAAAGGGAAGCGUUUAUGACCAGACUUGGGCCGGUUGAUCAUCCAGCGUUCUCGCUGGUGCACUCUGCCGGCCCAGGCCAGCAUCAGUUCGCUGCGGGGGAUAAAGGCGUCGGGAAUGUGGCUCCUCGGAGUGUUAUAGCCCUUCGCGCAAUACCCUGUGGCGGACUGAGGUUCGCGCAUUCGCAAGGAUGCUGGCGUAAUGGUCAUCAACGACCCGUCUUGAAACACGGACCAAGGAGUCGUCUUCGUAUGCGAGUGUUCGGGUGUAAAACCCCUACGCGUAAUGAAAGUGAACGCAGGUGAGAGCUUCGGCGCAUCAUCGACCGAUCCUGAUGUUCUCGGAUGGAUUUGAGUAAGAGCAUACGGGGCCGGACCCGAAAGAAGGUGAACUAUGCCUGUAUAGGGUGAAGCCAGAGGAAACUCUGGUGGAGGCUCGCAGCGGUUCUGACGUGCAAAUCGAUCGUC
This 873-nucleotide ribosomal RNA is filed under the name Stachybotrys microspora. Its description in RNAcentral is "eukaryotic LSU rRNA". It matches the Rfam family "Eukaryotic large subunit ribosomal RNA", at positions 1 to 906 of the family's 3401-position model. Lineage: Eukaryota; Fungi; Ascomycota; Sordariomycetes; Hypocreales; Stachybotryaceae. The record is from RNAcentral.